CAGGUUGGACCCCCUUUCCCUCUCCCCUGCAUGUCCACUGCGGGCCUCAGUGUGUCUGGCGGGCAGGAAAAUCAAAGUGCGAAUUUGAGGGACCGUCUGUAUGUCCAAAAUGGAAAAUGGCAUUCAUGGGACUACUUCUUUCUCUUAUUUCAUGUGUAACUCCUUAACAGAAAACAACUCCUGCACACGGAGGGCCUUAUCAGACACGGGACAGAGGCCACAGUAUUAGCCUCAAGUGCUCAUAGCCUCCUUCACCAAGCCCAUCCAUUCUGUGCACUGUUGGCCCCAGGGGAGACGAGGCAAUAUUCUCCCUUCCAGGUCAUCUUGGGGCCCAGACCACUAGCCGGAGAAAUGAUAUGGAGAGAGCAGAUGAGAAAGCUGAAAUACUGCAAGUUGAAAUGACUCAUCCUAGGUCCCAGGUCUAGUGAAGAGUGAGGACCAGAAAUCACAUGUACUGGGCUACCAGCAGUCAGAUAUAAUCAGCCCCCAAAUCUCCUGUGGUUCACUACAGAUAAA
Mandrillus leucophaeus (drill) is the source of this 516-nucleotide long non-coding RNA. RefSeq lists it as uncharacterized. The record is from RefSeq and is a predicted model, not a curated record. Lineage: Eukaryota; Metazoa; Chordata; Mammalia; Primates; Cercopithecidae. The transcript has 3 exons.